GAUGAACGCUGGCGGCGUGCCUAACACAUGCAAGUCGAACGGAGUCGUUUUGUAAAUCUCUUCUGAGAUUGACUUCUCGACUUAUUUGCGGUCUGGUUAUUAACGCUUGAGCAAUCUUCCUUUAAGAGGGGGAUAACAGUCUGAAACGGCUGCUAAUACCGCAUAAAGCUUUACAUUCUCAUGUUUUUUUUUCCAAAUGAGCAAUCCGCUUUUAGAUGCGCUCGCGUCUGAUUAGCUAUUUGGCGGGGUAACGGCCCAACAAUGCGACGAUCAGUAGCAGGACUGAGAGGAGGAACGGCCACAGGGGGAAUGAGACACGGCAGAGAAUCAUACGGGAGGAAGGAGUGGGGAAUAUUGCGAAAUGGGGGAAACACUGACGAAGAAACGCCGCGUGAUAGAAGAAGGCAUUAGGGAUGUAAAGAUCUUUAAUAAGGGACGAAACAAAUGACGGUAACUGAAGAAUAAGCACCGGCUAACUACGUG
RNAcentral lists this ribosomal RNA (483 nucleotides) under uncultured bacterium. RNAcentral describes it as "partial 16S ribosomal RNA". It matches the Rfam family "Bacterial small subunit ribosomal RNA", at positions 28 to 507 of the family's 1533-position model. The record is from RNAcentral.